This 253-nucleotide ribosomal RNA is filed under the name uncultured bacterium. RNAcentral describes it as "partial 16S ribosomal RNA". It matches the Rfam family "Bacterial small subunit ribosomal RNA", at positions 524 to 776 of the family's 1533-position model. The record is from RNAcentral.
UACGGAGGGUGCAAGCGUUAAUCGGAAUUACUGGGCGUAAAGGGUUCGUAGGUGGUUGGAUAAGUUAUCUGUAAAAUCCCUGGGCUUAACCUGGGCAGGUCAGAUAAGACUGUUUGACUCGAGUAUUGGAGAGGGUAGUGGAAUUUCCGGUGUAGCGGUGAAAUGCGUAGAGAUCGGAAGGAACACCAGUGGCGAAGGCGGCUACCUGGCCAAAUACUGACACUGAGGAACGAAAGCGUGGGGAGCAAACAGG